AGGGAAUCUUGCGCAAUGGGCGAAAGCCUGACGCAGCGACGCCGCGUGAGUGAUGAAGGCCUUCGGGUUGUAAAGCUCUGUGGGGAGAGAAGAAUAAGUGCAGGCUAAUACUCUGCGCGAUGACGGUAUCUCCUUAGCAAGCACCGGCUAACUCUGUGCCAGCAGCCGCGGUAAGACAGAGGGUGCAAACGUUGUUCGGAAUCACUGGGCGUAAAGCGCGUGUAGGCGGCUUCUCAAGUCGGGUGUGAAAUCCCAGGGCUCAACCCUGGAAGUGCAUUCGAAACUGGGUCGCUAGAGUACUGGAGAGGAAGGUGGAAUGCUUGGUGUAGAGGUGAAAUUCGUAGAUAUCAAGCGGAACACCGGUGGCGAAGGCGGCCUUCUGGACAGAUACUGACGCUGAGACGCGAAAGCGUGGGGAGCAAAC
This 424-nucleotide ribosomal RNA is filed under the name uncultured bacterium. RNAcentral describes it as "bacterial SSU rRNA". It matches the Rfam family "Bacterial small subunit ribosomal RNA", at positions 356 to 773 of the family's 1533-position model. The record is from RNAcentral.